UCACAAAGGUCUAUUAAAUGCAUUCCUGGAGGGGUCCUAGAGGGGUCUGUGGCUGGUUCCACUGCAGUAAUAACCACUUGUGUACCUGGUGGUUCUGUUGUGCGCUGCCUGCCUGGAAGUCACUCUGGAGAUGCUGUGAAGAAGCAGCCAUGUUAUGCUGCCUCAGCCUCUGAGCAGCCAUUUCUUUCUCCUCUCUUUCCAGCUCUACCAGAGUGUGCUGCAGCUCCUGCAUGCGCUGCUGGUCCUGUUGCCUCAACAUCUCCAACUCACACUAAACAGUUGCAGUUUCUCCUUCAGCUCGGUCAGUUCCACCCCUUGCUGUGUGUUGCGCUCUCGCUCCAUCUUUAAAGCACAGCAGGUUUCUUGUUUCUGCUCCCUUAAAGUCUCCACAGCCAAGCGAUGUCGGGUGGCGGCCUCCUUCUCCCUCUGCAGCUCCGCCCUCCACGCUCUGUCCUCCUCCUCUGAUUUCCUCCUGCUCUGAAGCAGCUCAGCCCUCAGUUUGUCCAUCACAGCUGCCAGCUCCUCCCCCUGUCUUCGCUCUUGCUCCAGCUGGGCGCGCAUGUCGGAGAUGAACUUCCUGUCUCUGGUGGCGUCGGCCUCUUGUCGGCGGCUGAGGUCAUCGACCUGCCUGGAGUAACGGUCUCUCUCUUCGUCCACCUUCUGUGAGCUUCUGCGAGCUUGGAGUGAAUUUCUGCGAGGCGAGACUCUGCUUCAGUCAGGAGGCGCUCCAGGCGAGUCUGGUCUUGUAGGUUGAGCUCUUUCUGGUGAGCAGAGAGAUGCCGCUCGUCUUCUAGCUCUUUCUGGGUGUCGCCAAGGCGUUUCUCCAGCAGCACACUGCGGGACUGUUCAAUCUGGAGCUCCUGUCUCAGGUUGCUGCAGGCCACUCUCUCCUGCUCCACCUGACCCUUUAGAGCCAUGACCUCUGACCUCUGCUGCUCAGAAGAUACAUGCAGAGCCUGCAGAGGAAAGACAGGGGUUAUCUGUCAGAGUUUAAAAAAGGAAAGUUGACGUCGACUCUGCAUUCUUCACCAUGUUUGGUCUUCUGAACUCAGUGAAAGCAUUAAGAACAUCUUCUUGUGUUUAUACACUUUUUCCCUAAACGAUCUGAAGCUGCCAUUAAUAAAACUAAACCCUACCAACAAUAAUUUUGCAGGUUUUUAGUCCUCGUCUUACCUCUCUCCUUUCCUCCUUCUCCCUGUCCUUGCGGUGACUCAGAGCUCGCUCCUGCUCCAGUUGUUGUUGAAGCUCCUGGACUCUGGCCUGCUCCCUUCUCAAAGCUUCUUCGCCCUCUGCUAUAGCCACCCUGAAGAAAACAAAAAAAGCACAAUUCCAACUUUACUUUUCACCACUUCUGAGUGUCAUGAGCACACUUCAGUUGUUUCUGACUCUCCUCCAGCUCCGCCCUCAGUUGGGAUUCAACCUGUCUGUCAACCCGAUCUCCGGGCAAGUCACCUUCAACUCUGUGGUCAGUCUGAAGGAGGAAGAAGAACAUGAUCAGCACCAAUACCAUUUAUCUGCAUUUGAUUUUGAUUUCAUAGUAUCUUUAAAACCCCAGAAGCUCACUUGUGUGGGUCUCUGUGCCAUUCGACAGAGCAGCUCUCUGAGAGCAACCACAGUCUCCUGCAGCGCCCUCUUCUCCUGCUGCCAGCUCAUGGGGGGGAUGGAGGAUGAAUUGUCCCGCUGGUCCAGUAUGGUGGAGCCACCUUCAGAAUGAUGCUCUGUGUGACUCAAUGCAAAGGCUCUUAAGUCCGAGACGUGAGGAUGUGUUGAGGGAGCGGCACGGCGUUGGGACAAAGUGAGGAUCCUGCAGCUUUCUUGAUACACCUUUUUCAGCAGACACUGCAGGAAGAUGGAGAAAGAAACUGAGUAAAAGCUUAUCACACUGUCAAAUGAAUAGUUACUGAAAAGUGUGUAUAUAUAUAUCCUACCUGCAGCUCGGGUGACAACAGCUCAUCGGUGUAGCUCAUACUGCCUGCAGCACUGUCUGUGUUUACCGUGGGGUUCAUUCCUCGGCAGCGAAGAUAGUCAAGGAACUGAGCAUCCAGCCGCUCAGUCUGCUCCAGCUCCACCUUCAGCCUCGCACCCAAUUCUGAACUCACAUCUGAAGCACAAAAGAAGAGAGUUUAGCAGAUAAAUCUGGGACAUGUUUUUAAUAGAAAGACAAAAGAAUUUAAAUAAUAAUUGAUGCUACUAACAAGUAUUAUCUGGACCCUGAUGUAAAAUGUUCCUUUGUGCUAUAAGGUUACAUUUUUUAUCCAAAUACAAUGUCAAAAAUGUUUUAAUACUCACUGCUGCCAUAUCCAUCACUGGCCCAUUCUGGUGCCGACAAAGAGGAAGUGGAACCAAGAGGAGAUGAAGGUGUUGUCAUGUCAAGAUCUUCCAACUCGCGCACCUAAGAAAGAAGAAUUACAAGAAGGAAAAAAAGGUCAAAUCAAACAAAUACCUAAAAACCUCUGACCCAAUAAAAGACUAAACUGCUCCGAAGGUUAGCUCGUAUGGAAGAGUCAUAUCAUACUUUGUCAGUGUCCAGCGAGUCGAGCAUGGAGAAGUUGUCAGACACAGACACGGAGCCGGAGCCUGGGGAGCGGGUACUCCGCGUGGCCGGAUCCGGUGUGAUGGUCCUGGAGUGUGGAGACUCCAUCACCACUCUGGGAGAGGGCUUGACGUGGUGGAGGUCCAGGCCGGUGCUGUUCAGAGCGCUGAACUCAGACAGACGGGAGUUGAUGGCAGAGGCGCGGAAACGCUCUGGGAUUCGGUCUUCGGAGCAUUCGAGUCUCCUUAAAACCUCCGGAGAGCUCAGAGAGACUUCGCCACGAGAGACGCUCACAACGUCUUCAAAGGCUCUGUGAGAAAUAUCUGACAGAGGAAGAAAGUGAAAAUGAGUCAACCGUCUGAGCAGCGGCGCUGUGACGUGUUACGGCAGUUAAAUGCAACCAGAUGUGGUCCCGCCUGCAGAUGUUAGCACAGCUGUAUGCUAGCAUUGAGACCGGCAGCGAGAUAUUUGCGCUCUAGACUUGGGGCCUGUUGAAGCAGGUUUCCAAAGAUAAGUGAAUGACUU
This is a long non-coding RNA of Eleginops maclovinus (Patagonian blennie), 3058 nucleotides long. RefSeq lists it as uncharacterized. The transcript is spliced from 4 exons. Lineage: Eukaryota; Metazoa; Chordata; Actinopteri; Perciformes; Eleginopidae. The record is from RefSeq and is a predicted model, not a curated record.